GCGGGACACGUGGUAUCCUGUCUGAAUAUGGGGGGACCAUCCUCCAAGGCUAAAUACUCCUGACUGACCGAUAGUGAACCAGUACCGUGAGGGAAAGGCGAAAAGAACCCCGGCGAGGGGAGUGAAAAAGAACCUGAAACCGUGUACGUACAAGCAGUGGGAGCCUCUUAAUGGGGUGACUGCGUACCUUUUGUAUAAUGGGUCAGCGACUUAUAUUCUGUAGCAAGGUUAACCGAAUAGGGGAGCCGAAGGGAAACCGAGUCUUAACUGGGCGUUAAGUUGCAGGGUAUAGACCCGAAACCCGGUGAUCUAGCCAUGGGCAGGUUGAAGGUUGGGUAACACUAACUGGAGGACCGAACCGACUAAUGUUGAAAAAUUAGCGGAUGACUUGUGGCUGGGGGUGAAAGGCCAAUCAAACCGGGAGAUAGCUGGUUCUCCCCGAAAGCUAUUUAGGUAGCGCCUCGUGAAUUCAUCUCCGGGGGUAGAGCACUGUUUCGGCAAGGGGGUCAUCCCGACUUACCAACCCGAUGCAAACUGCGAAUACCGGAGAAUGUUAUCACGGGAGACACACGGCGGGUGCUAACGUCCGUCGUGAAGAGGGAAACAACCCAGACCGCCAGCUAAGGUCCCAAAGUCAUGGUUAAGUGGGAAACGAUGUGGGAAGGCCCAGACAGCCAGGAUGUUGGCUUAGAAGCAGCCAUCAUUUAAAGAAAGCGUAAUAGCUCACUGGUCGAGUCGGCCUGCGCGGAAGAUGUAACGGGGCUAAACCAUGCACCGAAGCUGCGGCAGCGACACUAUGUGUUGUUGGGUAGGGGAGCGUUCUGUAAGCCUGUGAAGGUGGCCUGUGAGGGUUGCUGGAGGUAUCAGAAGUGCGAAUGCUGACAUAAGUAACGAUA
Molecule: ribosomal RNA, 896 nt
Filed under: Escherichia coli
Lineage: Bacteria; Pseudomonadati; Pseudomonadota; Gammaproteobacteria; Enterobacterales; Enterobacteriaceae
Description: partial 23S ribosomal RNA
Rfam family: Bacterial large subunit ribosomal RNA
Source: RNAcentral